CUCCUUUUGAAAGGUGACCAAAUGACCAACAAUGCAUUUCGGUCUUGGAAUAAGCUAUCUUCAGCUGCAUGCACGUGUAGGAUGUGUCAAAUCAUUCUUCCAUAACGUCUAGCUGGAUAUCAAAAACUAAUUUGAAAAUGAAUUGAACAAACCCAAUCAUAGUUCCGUGGUCUUGCCCCACCCGACACGUCUGAACUAACAGGAAGUGACGUUGCGUCAGCUGUUCCACGUGGACGGGCGCGCUCUUCAAUGUUGUUAUCGUCGAUUUCAGAAGUGUAUUGAACUUGCUUAUCAAAAACUCAUCGAUUUGACCAGCGAUAAUCUAACAGCAGUGCUUUUCCCUUUGGAAAUGAUCAGAUGUUAAGGUGUGUUUAUGGUAUCGAACUGUCAGCACUGUUCAAGUGGUUUGUAGUUCAUUUUAGUUGUAGAAAACCCGCUGUUAUCUCCCAAGGAACGUCGUUUCGUGCCGUGCGGUAAAAAGCAAAUUCUCGAUGAUGCAACGUUGAUGUCGGUGGGCAACCGAGACGUUCUAUGGUAACCAUCAUAUAUCAUUGGCAGUGAAAGGUAAGUUUAAACAGAUUGUUAUCUUAGUGUAUUUCUUAUUAAGGCACACCAAAUUCUCACGUUUUCAAACAACUUUGCUUUAGCUAAUUGGUUGCAUUUUUGAUUUAAUUGAAAGAAGAGUCUUUAGAGUCACUUAAGAAAGCCCUCUUGAAAAAAGUUCAGAAACUAGAUUAAUAUAAAGGCGAAUUAUCGAGGACAUCAAAGGAUUCCACUUUAUUUGAACUUCUAAAAAANUUCCAUUUAAUUUUGUUUGCAUUUUAAUUUAGUUUUAAACCGCNAUUUUGAAUCAUGCAAGAGAAAAUUCGUUUUUUGGAUCGAACAGGCGGCCAUUUUGAAUUUACACUGUACAGUAAUUGUUUUUGUAAGAAAUUAUGGGAUGCCUAGAGGCCCUUGAANGAAAACUGAAUAGACUGUCUGACAGCUUUCUGUUGAGAAUGUUACCCAAUUCAAUUCUCUCAAACGUAAAACCAAAGCUGAUAGCCGAACAUAUUUAGCUGAUAAAUUUUGAAGAAAGAAAUGUCACUUGUUAUAAUCAAACAGUUCAACAUAAUGUUCAAUUUGUUUGUUCCUUGGACAUCGCCGCCGUAAUUUCGGCUUUGUUCUCAAUAUGGCGUACCGUAUUGAUGAUUUGAGAUCAGAAAAUGCUUGUUUGGUCGGUUUUUGAUGAUUAUUCUUGCGGCACCUAAUUGUAUUUAGCUAUUACUAAUAGCUAUUACAUAGUAUGUGCGUGUUACGUUUAAAAAUAAAGUAGAAUUGAAAACGUCUUCUUACACUUGCCGAGAUCUUCAUCACUAAAAAUCGAUUCAGUAAUUAUUUUAUUAUCCUUCACACUGCCGAUAAGCGAAUCUAUGUGAGUGGAAUUGAAAUGAGACUUGCACAUUUGUGCGGGGUUAAAUUAAGAUGUGAGAAAAUCACUUAGGUGUGCAAACUACAGAUUAGUGAAUAUUAGGAAUAGUUUAUUGGUUAGCCCCAGUAAUCUAGACUGCUUACUUUAUGAAAUAAUGUGUAUGAUAUUGACCAAUCAGAGCAAAGGUAGCGAGUACAGAAAACCUUCCAAUUUUGAACUACAAGGAAGGUUAACUGGAUGUAUUUAUUAAUCUCGUAUAAAGAUGAAGAAAUAUUAAAAAAACAAUAAGAAAUAGUUAAUUUUACUUCUAUUUUCAAGGUUUCACGUUAGUGUUAAUUCUGCAGGUUUAGUUUUCAUAUGCUUUUUUAUAGUAAAUUUUAUGCCUAUUUUGUUGUUAUGAAUUAUAAAUAAGAAGCUCUUUACUUGAUAAUGCUUCCAUUUUAAGCCAUUUUAUAAUUAUCUUCCUUCGCCUUUCGAAGCUGGAGCGUCUGGAACAAUAGAGUCCCAUAUAGCGCGCGGUCUGCGACUUGUAGGUACUUUUAAUAAUUCAAGAAACAUGUCUAAUAUUUUAAUUUGUUUUUAUCUUGUUGAUCAGUUAACACGUUGACUUNAUUCAGCGUGUCACCUCUGCACAAAUGUAUAAUGUUUAAGAUAAGUCCCAAACAGUAUUUAUCAAAAUGACAUUUCCUUUUAACAAGAGGAUUUUAGCGUGGACAAGUGAUAAUUGUCUCGAACAAUCGUUACAGUAAACAAUCUGUUCACAAACAGACUCUCAUGCGCAGGUGCUCGUCCACCAACUUUCAGUAUUACUGUUGAUUUAGUAAAUACUAACCCAUUUGGAACAACCAAGAAAUCAAAAUGAGAUUGAUGAUAGGGCGAUUGGUAAUAUAAACACUUGAUUUUAAGGAAGGACGAAAUGCUAAUAUUUGGAAAUUGGUGAUCAUUUUAUAAUCAAGUUGACAAGGGGAAGAAGAAUACGUGACAAAAAAAAAUGACUCUGAAAUUUAGGAAAAAGUCAUUAAAAAAUAUGGUGUAAUGGAGUUUAGGAAUUGCAUGGUUUUAGGAUAAUUUUUGAUAAUUUUGGACUAAAUGUUGGCAUUUGAUGCGUCAUAAGAGCCAAAUGUCGCUGUGAAAGGACAAUGAUAAUAUACAAAUGAAGGCAGAAAAAUAAUACAUGAAUAUGUGGGUGGACUUUUGAAUAAAUGAAUGGAUAGAUUAAAAAAUAGAUGGGUAAAAGAAUGGAUGAUUGAAUAAAAAAAACAGGAUAAAAAAAGAAAAAAAAACAGGAUGGAGGAAGGAAAGUAGAAACAAUUGCGUGUAAUCUGAAUGAAUGAAUGAAUGAAAGGAAAGAAACUAAGAAAGGAAAGAUAUUUAGAUGUAGGUUGUUCUAGAGGAAAUUCAUACAGUUUAGAAUGAAUAUCUAUUCUGAGUAAAUUAANCGAUGAACAAGCCAUCUCAUUAUANUGACGCUGUGAACAUCAGGUAAAUGAAAACUAGUAACGAGUUUUUGUAGAAAACUCUUUGAAAAAGACAUUUUCAAUCAGUAAAUAGGUAAACAAAUGAAUAUGAGAGUAGAACUAAUAAAUUAAUGCCAAAAUAAGUCCAUUAAUGAGGAAGUGUAAAUAAGCCAAACUUUGAAACAUCAAAUUUGGUGGCCAUGUUCAUGUUUUCAAAUCGUAGGAUUCUACGCAAUAAAAGUGGAAAGCCAAAAUGAGAACAAAACAUCUACAUAUAAUAUAAGUAAUGUAUAUACAUGAAACUAUGAAUUAUUUAUGCCAGAGUAAUUGAUGUAAUUAACCGUAAAUGGCGGUACAGAACAAACAUCCAGAUUGCUAUUUUCAAGCUUAAUGCUUUUCUAAUUUUUCAACUGAUUUUGAGCAUCAAAAUUCAAUAAAAACUUAGCAUUCAAUCUCUGAUUUACAUUUCCUUCAUUAACCAUCGGCUGAACAAACCCAACGGUGUGUAAAAACCUGUGCCUUAAUACGCGGUCGCAAAACUGACACGCAAGAUGACAGAUGUUGGUAAAUUUAGACGUAUGCUGGGUACAGCAUGUAAACGUAGAAGCAUAGAGAUGGCUAUAAUAACGUCUACCACAAACCCCAUGAAGGUUUUUAGCUAAUGUAAUGUGUUAUAGUAAUGAAUUUUUGAUAUUCAAGGAAACAUUAUGAAUAAACUAUGAUUUUUAAUUGGAGUUUUUUUUUCUACUUAUGGACAUAUAUACUCGCUUCAUUUUCAGUGACAUUAAAAAAUUUCUUUAAAUAUGUUUGAAAUAAUGUCGUCAAUUUUGGCAUGCAUGGAUUUCAAGUUGUUUCAUGUAUAAUUUUUUCUUCUGUUAUCAAUGCUAAAANUUUUUUUCUUUUUUCUUUGCGAAACAAUAGUUCAUUUUGAACUGAACAUUAGGCAGAAUACGGUCUUAUCUUUUUAUUGUACUGUUUGUCCUGUAUUGCCCACAGAGAACACAACGGGUUUAAGAGAGUAAAUGAAUUGCAAGGAUCACGGGGGAGGGUCCCCAGUGGCAGCAUAAUGAGUGUAAUCGGACGAAACACAACGUAUGAGUCAAUAUCUAAAGACUGCUCGAACACUGGGCACACAUGCGGGCACUCCUUGGCAGGCUGUGAGUAAUGCUCUUAGCGGAGUCCUUAGCGAGAUAGACCCAUUAGAACUCAAAGUGCUUCUUUUUGUAAGGUAUGGUUUGUGUGAAUAACACUCUUCUCCAACAAUGUAAAAAUGAAACGGUUUUAAGAAUAUUUUAUGUGUUUUGCACUUGGUUUCGAUCUGGGCUUUUUUGUAUUUUACUGGCUUGGUUGUAAGUAGUUCUUUUAAUUAACUGUGCUGAUUCUAGAUCAGAUACUAUCAAUAUGCCAUGUCUUGUAUUUGAAUAAGUAAAGACAGGAAAAUAGCGAAAAUCGAAUUAUGGAAAUGAAUCAAAAGUGAGGUUUUUUGAAUGGAUUCUAGUUGCCUCACGCAAAAUGGGAAAUUUAAAAAGACUAAAAGUUGAAGUAGUGAACUUUACAGCGAUUUUUACAAAGAAAAUAACACGGUUUCUCUUGUUAUAACAAGGCAUUUUUAGCAUGUCUCUUCCAUUUCAAUUUUUAAAAUACUAGAAGUUUCUCUUGAAUUUUUUAUGCCAUUUAGACUUCAUAAGGAGAGUGACCUAUGUUUUUUUUUCAGAAAGUUUUGUUUUUAAAAGUUUGAUGUAGGUAUCAUGGAGAGAUCCCUUUAAAAUAUCAUAUAUAUAAUUAUAGAACUUUUUAAAAUCCAGCCCAAUAAAAGAGGGAAAGAAAGAGGCAAAAUGUACGCUGUUCAGUUCUGUGCAAAUCUGCUCUGUUCAAAUAAGCUUUACUUUAUUUUACGUGUACCGCUUUCUGCCCAGUGGUUAUCAGUUCAACAUCUGGAAUNUUAAUAAGUAUUCCCGUCUGGUUCUAAAUGGAAUCGAAAGAAAAAAUAAUCAUGGAAUAAUAUAUUCUCUUUGUUUUCUUUCUCGAUUAUUUUAUUCCUAGAAAGAUAACAAGAAAAAAAUAUGGUAUAUAUCUAUCAUAUAUUCCUAUGUGAAUCGUAAAAUAAUGGAAGGAAUUCAAUCAACGUACGACUUGCAAACUCUGUUUCAUGGCAAAUUUACUGAUUUUUUUUUAUUCUUUUUUUGUGUACGAAAAUCCUAUAUUAAAAAUCUUAGUUUUCCUUGUUUUUACU
This 5101-nucleotide long non-coding RNA is filed under the name Exaiptasia diaphana. RNAcentral describes it as "uncharacterized LOC110240565". Lineage: Eukaryota; Metazoa; Cnidaria; Anthozoa; Actiniaria; Aiptasiidae. The record is from RNAcentral.